GGGGAAUUGUUCGCAAUGGGCGCAAGCCUGACGACGCAACGCCGCGUGGAGGACGAAGAUCUUCGGGUCGUAAACUCCUUUCGAUCGGGACGAACGGCUGGUGGUCUAACACAUCAUCAGAGUGACGGUACCGAGAGAAGAAGCCCAGGCUAACUCCGUGCCAGCAGCCGCGGUAAUACGGGGGGGGCAAGCGUUGUUCGGAAUUACUGGGCGUAAAGUGUGCGCAGGCGGCCGAGCAUGUCGAGUGUGAAAGCCCCGGGCUUAACCUGGGAACUGCGCUCGAAACUACUUGGCUGGAGUGUGGCAGAGGAAGGUGGAAUUCCACGUGUAGCGGUGAAAUGCGUAGAGAUGUGGAGGAACACCGAUGGCGAAGGCAGCCUUCUGGGCCAACACUGACGCUCACGCACGAAAGCGUGGGGAGCAAA
RNAcentral lists this ribosomal RNA (425 nucleotides) under uncultured bacterium. RNAcentral's name for it is "bacterial SSU rRNA". It matches the Rfam family "Bacterial small subunit ribosomal RNA", at positions 356 to 772 of the family's 1533-position model. The record is from RNAcentral.